Molecule: ribosomal RNA, 253 nt
Filed under: uncultured bacterium
Lineage: Bacteria
Description: partial 16S ribosomal RNA
Rfam family: Bacterial small subunit ribosomal RNA
Source: RNAcentral
GACAGAGGUGCCGAGCGUUAGGCGGAAUCACUGGGCUUAAAGCGUGUGUAGGCGGAUCGUUAAGUGUCUUGUGAAAUCCCCCGGCUCAACCGGGGAACUGCUGGGCAUACUGGCGAUCUUGAGCGGCCUAGGGGCAGAUGGAACAAGUGGUGGAGCGGUGAAAUGCGUAGAUAUCGCUUGGAACGCCAAAGGUGAAAACAGACAGCUGGGAGUGUGCUGACGCUGAGACACGAAAGCCAGGGGAGCGAACGGG